RNAcentral lists this small RNA (164 nucleotides) under Streptomyces zinciresistens K42. RNAcentral's name for it is "c-di-AMP riboswitch aptamer (ydaO/yuaA leader)". It matches the Rfam family "c-di-AMP riboswitch aptamer (ydaO/yuaA leader)". Rfam says of the family: This family represents a conserved RNA structure found upstream of the ydaO and yuaA genes in Bacillus subtilis and related genes in other bacteria. The ydaO/yuaA element is thought to act as a genetic "off" switch for the ydaO and yuaA genes in its native state. RNAcentral also lists the same sequence under 1 other name. Lineage: Bacteria; Bacillati; Actinomycetota; Actinomycetes; Kitasatosporales; Streptomycetaceae. The record is from Rfam by way of RNAcentral.
GGACAGCCAUCGCCGAGUCCCCGUACGGCGCGAGCCAGGGGAGCCGGGGACCCAUCUGUGUCCCUGGGGUGAAUCGGACGCCCGCGCCACGGCGAGGGGGUCCGUAGGAGACCUUCCUGCUCCGAACCCGUCAGCUAACCCGGUAGGCGAGAGGGAAGGAAAGG